Molecule: long non-coding RNA, 740 nt
Organism: Daphnia pulex (common water flea)
Lineage: Eukaryota; Metazoa; Arthropoda; Branchiopoda; Diplostraca; Daphniidae
Exons: 2
Source: RefSeq, a predicted model, not a curated record
ACCAAAUUGAUCAAAGAGUUCGGGACACACUGAAUAGAGUGCUGCAUGAUCAGUGUCUGCUAUUGGCAUAGCUUCACCUGAGUAGGCAUAAUUGUAGGCGUAGUCACAGUCGCUGCAGGUGCCAUACCAGACACAGUGGCCCUGUUUAUCUUUGCUGCUUUUGGCUACUGUUUUCGGUGACCAAAUGCUGUGGUGUUGAGCUUCAGAAUCAUGGAAUAACUGAGCAAUCCAUAAUGAAAGAGGAAAAACAAAUGCAUAAAAAGUUUGUACGAGAUCAUAACUUCUGCAUAUUACUGAAUCAGCAAAACUAGUGACACAUACAUUUGCCAACAUUUAACACCCAUUGCAAAACCUGAAAAUCAGUGAAUUUAAAUCCCUUUCGAACUUUCUAAUUUAUUGUACUGACAGCCUGCUUACAGUAAGAGCAGAUGGUUGGUCUGAUAAAUCCUUCUAGAAUGUAGACGUUGUAACCGCCUCAUUGUUUACUACUUCGUUGGGCAGUAUCAGGGCAGGGAUCUUAAACAACACGACACUCAUAUGGUGCCAUAAACCCUUUAGCUAAUGUUAGAAUUAUCGCGAGAGCAAACCAGUCCUGACAACAAAUUUAUGAAUUGGUGAAAUUAUUUCACUUACCUCAUUAUCGGCAGUUUCAGAGGUGACUUGGCCGUGCCAAAUCGAGAACAGGAACAACAUGAAGACGAAGGUCACGUCUCGCCUCAUUUUGUUGUUCCUGUUUCACU